GGCAUUGUAGUGUAGUGGUCUUAUCACUUCGGAUUUUGAUUCCGACGACCCAGGUUCGAGUCCUGGCAACGCCU
Molecule: transfer RNA, 74 nt
Filed under: Jaapia argillacea MUCL 33604
Lineage: Eukaryota; Fungi; Basidiomycota; Agaricomycetes; Jaapiales; Jaapiaceae
Description: tRNA-Gln (TTG) (tRNA-Gln-TTG-2-1)
Rfam family: tRNA
About the family: Transfer RNA (tRNA) molecules are approximately 80 nucleotides in length. Their secondary structure includes four short double-helical elements and three loops (D, anti-codon, and T loops). Further hydrogen bonds mediate the characteristic L-shaped molecular structure. tRNAs have two regions of fundamental functional importance: the anti-codon, which is responsible for specific mRNA codon recognition, and the 3' end, to which the tRNAs corresponding amino acid is attached (by aminoacyl-tRNA synthetases). tRNAs cope with the degeneracy of the genetic code in two manners: having more than one tRNA (with a specific anti-codon) for a particular amino acid; and 'wobble' base-pairing, i.e. permitting non-standard base-pairing at the 3rd anti-codon position.
Source: RNAcentral